RNAcentral lists this ribosomal RNA (260 nucleotides) under uncultured bacterium. RNAcentral describes it as "partial 16S ribosomal RNA". It matches the Rfam family "Bacterial small subunit ribosomal RNA", at positions 15 to 266 of the family's 1533-position model. The record is from RNAcentral.
GAUCAUGGCUCAGGAUGAACGCUGGCGGCGUGCUUAACACAUGCAAGUCGAACGGGAUCCAAGGAGCGUUUUUCGUUUUUUGGUGAGAGUGGCGAACGGGUGAGUAACACGUGAGUAACCUGUCCUUUUCUUUGGGAUAAGCUCCUGAAAGGGUGUUUAAUACCUUAUGUUCUGUCUGCCUCGCAUGGGGUGGGUGGGAAAGAUUUUUUCGGUGAAGGGUGGGCUCGCGGUCUAUCAGCUUGUCGGUGGGGUGAUGGCUU